UACGUAGGGGGGCUAGCGUUGUCCGGAUUUAUUGGGCGUAAAGAGCGUGUAGGCGGCCAGGUAGGUCUGCUGUGAAAACUCGAGGCUCAACCUCGAGACGUCGGCGGAAACCAUCUGGCUAGAGUCCGGAAGAGGAGGAAUGGAAUUCCUGGUGUAGCGGUGAAAUGCGCAGAUAUCAGGAAGAACACCGAUGGCGAAGGCAGUUCUCUGGGACGGUACUGACGCUGAGACGCGAAAGCGUGGGGAGCGAACAGG
RNAcentral lists this ribosomal RNA (255 nucleotides) under uncultured bacterium. RNAcentral's name for it is "partial 16S ribosomal RNA". It matches the Rfam family "Bacterial small subunit ribosomal RNA", at positions 524 to 776 of the family's 1533-position model. The record is from RNAcentral.